GACGAACGCUGGCGGCGUGCUUAACACAUGCAAGUCGAACGGAAAGGCCCUGCUUUUGUGGGGUGCUCGAGUGGCGAACGGGUGAGUAACACGUGAGUAACCUGCCCUUGACUUUGGGAUAACUUCAGGAAACUGGGGCUAAUACCGGAUAGGAGCUCCUGCUGCAUGGUGGGGGUUGGAAAGUUUCGGCGGUUGGGGAUGGACUCGCGGCUUAUCAGCUUGUUGGUGGGGUAGUGGCUUACCAAGGCUUUGACGGGUAGCCGGCCUGAGAGGGUGACCGGCCACAUUGGGACUGAGAUACGGCCCAGACUCCUACGGGGGGCAGCAGUGGGGAAUAUUGCACAAUGGGCGGAAGCCUGAUGCAGCAACGCCGCGUGCGGGAUGACGGCCUUCGGGUUGUAAACCGCUUUCGCCUGUGACGAAGCGUGAGUGACGGUAAUGGGUAAAGAAGCACCGGCUAACUACGUGCCAGCAGCCGCGGUGAUACGUAGGGUGCGAGCGUUGUCCGGAUUUAUUGGGCGUAAAGGGCUCGUAGGUGGUUGAUCGCGUCGGAAGUGUAAUCUUGGGGCUUAACCCUGAGCGUGCUUUCGAUACGGGUUGACUUGAGGAAGGUAGGGGGGAAUGGAAUUCCUGGUGGAGCGGUGGAAUGCGCAGAUAUCAGGAGGAACACCAGUGGCGAAGGCGGUUCUCUGGGCCUUUCCUGACGCUGAGGAGCGAAAGCGUGGGGAGCGAACAGGCUUAGAUACCCUGGUAGUCCACGCUGUAAACGGUGGGUACUAGGUGUGGGGUCCAUUCCACGGGUUCCGUGCCGUAGCUAACGCUUUAAGUACCCCGCCUGGGGAGUACGGCCGCAAGGCUAAAACUCAAAGGAAUUGACGGGGCCCCGCACAAGCGGCGGAGCAUGCGGAUUAAUUCGAUGCAACGCGUAGAACCUUACCUGGGUUUGACAUGGAUCGGGAGUGCUCAGAGAUGGGUGUGCCUCUUUUGGGGUCGGUUCACAGGUGGUGCAUGGCUGUCGUCAGCUCGUGUCGUGAGAUGUUGGGUUAAGUCCCGCAACGAGCGCAACCCUUGUUCACUGUUGCCAGCACGUUAUGGUGGGGACUCAGUGGAGACCGCCGGGGUCAACUCGGAGGAAGGUGGGGAUGACGUCAAGUCAUCAUGCCCCUUAUGUCCAGGGCUUCACGCAUGCUACAAUGGCUGGUACAGAGAGUGGCGAGCCUGUGAGGGUGAGCGAAUCUCGGAAAGCCGGUCUCAGUUCGGAUUGGGGUCUGCAACUCGACCUCAUGAAGUCGGAGUCGCUAGUAAUCGCAGAUCAGCAACGCUGCGGUGAAUACGUUCCCGGG
RNAcentral lists this ribosomal RNA (1343 nucleotides) under uncultured bacterium. RNAcentral describes it as "16S ribosomal RNA". It matches the Rfam family "Bacterial small subunit ribosomal RNA", at positions 28 to 1378 of the family's 1533-position model. The record is from RNAcentral.